GGGAGCAGGAGGGUCGCUGACAGUGUACGACACUGAGGAAAGUCCCCUCUCCUUGAUGCAGGUGGUCCGGCGCAAGUCGGAGGUCCGGGAGGGCCGGCUCUGCAACAGAAACGAACCGCGCCAGGCGCACUGUGAACCCGAGAGGGGGAGAUUUCCUGACCGCGGCUGGAACGAGCAUCCCCACCGGAGCAAGUCCAAGCAGGUCCGCAUGGCAUCGACAGGACCGGGUAGGAUGCAUAGUUGAAUGCGACCAGCCGAAAGGUGAACAGAAAGGGGCUUACUCCCUGCACCC
Molecule: RNase P RNA, 292 nt
Filed under: Candidatus Thalassarchaeum betae
Lineage: Archaea; Methanobacteriati; Thermoplasmatota; Candidatus Poseidoniia; Candidatus Poseidoniales; Candidatus Thalassarchaeaceae
Also listed under: 1 other name
Description: RNase P RNA component
Rfam family: Archaeal RNase P
About the family: Ribonuclease P (RNase P) is a ubiquitous endoribonuclease, found in archaea, bacteria and eukarya as well as chloroplasts and mitochondria. Its best characterised activity is the generation of mature 5'-ends of tRNAs by cleaving the 5'-leader elements of precursor-tRNAs. Cellular RNase Ps are ribonucleoproteins.
Source: RNAcentral